UAUUUACUGAACUCUGUCUCUGGUUAUAAGAGAGGAUGGUCCAACUAUAUGAGUUUGAGCCCCAAGGGCUGAAUGGAUACAGAGUCUUGACUCCACUCUGAAUGCAUAAAGGGAUAAUCUCUCUGGGUAUGUAUGUGCUACAUCCCCUGUACGUCAAGUGCCCAACCAUUCCUGCUCUCUGGAGAUAGAGGUCCCAAAAGACAUAAUGAGGAGGAGUCCCUGGAGCAGCUUCACCACUGCAUUUCCAGGUUUGGAAGUGGAGUCAUUAACUGGCUGGUGCAGGGUUUUGAGAAAAUGGUACCUCAGCCAGAGAAAAAGCCUGAGGAAGCAAAGGAAAAGAAGCCUGAGGAGACUGCCAAAAUAGAAGAACCAAAGCUGGAGCCUAAACUGGAACCGAAGCCGGAGCCUCCACCAAAAGAGAGUGCCAGUGAAUCUCUAACUACACAAGAGGCAACUGCAGCUAGCCAGCUGGGGCUUGGAGUCUCUUUUUUCCCUUGGGCUUUAGGUGGUGAUGGUAGCAGGAUGUUUGACUGGUUUGUUCAGGAACUGGAGAAGAUGGUUCCACAGCCUGUGAUCAAGCAGGCUGAUUCGGAAGGAGAAGUGGUAACUGCGUGCCCAGUGGAGGAGAUUUGUAUCUUCCCCGAGGAGCAGGGAGAGACCAAACUUGUCAUUGAAGACACUGAAUCCAAUGAAGUUCUAGAAGAGGUGAAACCUUGUGACACUGAGAUGGAACUUAAACUGUCUUCUGCUCCUCUCCCUUCAAUAGAAGAGGAAACUCAGGAGGAAGAAGAGAGGUAAGAAGAGAAAGCUCAUACUGGAAAAGCCACCUUGUAUGUCAGAUCCUAUAUUAUAAGGAAUCAAGCCC
RNAcentral lists this long non-coding RNA (865 nucleotides) under Crocodylus porosus (Australian saltwater crocodile). Its description in RNAcentral is "lncRNA (ENSCPRG00005015286.1)". Lineage: Eukaryota; Metazoa; Chordata; Crocodylia; Crocodylidae. The record is from RNAcentral.